This 520-nucleotide ribosomal RNA is filed under the name Diapherodes venustula. RNAcentral's name for it is "eukaryotic LSU rRNA". The record is from RNAcentral. Lineage: Eukaryota; Metazoa; Arthropoda; Insecta; Phasmatodea; Phasmatidae.
GUACGUGAAACCGUUCAGGGGUAAACGGGAGAAAUCCUGAAUUCGAAAGGGAUCGGAUUCAAGUCCGACCGGCUGUCAGGACGCCUGGCCCCACCAGAUGUUGCUGGUCGCCCGCGGCGAUUUAUUUCGCUUGUGGUGUCGUUCCUGGUGAUCACUCGGUGAGGUGGCGAUGCUCUGGCACCGGAGGAGUGCACUUCCCCCCUAGUAGAAACGUCGCGACCCGUUGGGUGCCGGUCUAAGGCCCGGGAAGGCAGACCGUGUGUCCUGUGAGGGCUCUCACAGGCGUGCGGACUCUUGGUGACCCGGCCGGCUGCUCGACGGUAUGACCAGAGGAGUCGAUCCGCUGAAUGGGAAACACUUUGGAUGUGUAGCGUCCGGCCCGGCGCCGAUACGUGCGGGGAUUGAGGUGAAAGCCGGGGGUGUCCGUGCGAAGCACGGCCCCGGCCCCGCUGCGUUUUCGGAAUGUCGGUGUCCUCGGACUGGAUCGUUACUCCCGUCUGCGACGCCCACCUUCGGAUGG